AUUAUUUCCUAGGAUUAAAGGCAUGUGUGCUUCUAAGCAAAGGCAUGAGAUCUUAAGCACUGGAAUUAAAGGUGUGUGCCACCACUUCUUGACCUCAAUGUCUAGUCUAAUGGCUGGCUCUGUCCUCUGAUUAUCAGGCAAGUUUAUUAUGCUACCCAAUAUAUCACCAUACAUC
This is a non-coding RNA of Peromyscus maniculatus bairdii (prairie deer mouse), 175 nucleotides long. NCBI's taxonomy places the organism in Eukaryota, Metazoa, Chordata, Mammalia, Rodentia, Cricetidae. The record is from RefSeq and is a predicted model, not a curated record.